UGGAUGAGUCACCUCUACUGUCAGCAAGAUGCCCAUCAGCAAGUUCACCACCUGAGAAGGAUCACAGUUACCUAAAGAAGCUUGAUUUAAUAGCAAGACCACAAUGCCAGUUUCAACUUGAUAGUCAGUGUGACUAGCAGCAAGAGUACAGUUUGAAUUGCAAGGCAUCGUCAGAGCUUCAACAAACAUACUCGCUGUGAAUAAAAUAUAAGUUCACAAAUGGUGUAUAUGGGGAAGUCAGAAAACUCACAGCACAGGUAAGCACCAGUGUCAACUGAAGAUUAUAACCACCAUCCCCUUAAGAGCUGACAAAUCCAACUUGGUGAAGAGUGCCCUAUUCUGAGGCGAUACCUCAGGAGACCCAGCAGUCUCCAACCUAGUCUUUUUUGUUAGAAAGUU
Neopsephotus bourkii (Bourke's parrot) is the source of this 399-nucleotide long non-coding RNA. RefSeq lists it as uncharacterized. The record is from RefSeq and is a predicted model, not a curated record. The transcript has 2 exons. Lineage: Eukaryota; Metazoa; Chordata; Aves; Psittaciformes; Psittacidae.